This 1351-nucleotide long non-coding RNA is filed under the name Homo sapiens (human). RNAcentral describes it as "non-protein coding lnc-XPC-10:5". The record is from RNAcentral. Lineage: Eukaryota; Metazoa; Chordata; Mammalia; Primates; Hominidae.
CUUUCCCUCUUUCUCUCCUGCAGACGAUGGGCCCUACUCCAAAGGAGGCAAGGACGCAGGAGGGGCCGACGUUUCCCUGGCGUGCCGCAGACAGAGCAUUCCAGAGGAGUUCCGAGGGAUCACUGUGGUGGAGCUGAUCAAGAAAGAAGGCAGCACGCUGGGCCUGACUAUCUCAGGUGGCACCGACAAGGAUGGAAAGCCCAGGGUCUCCAACCUGAGACCUGGGGGACUUGCAGCCAGGAGUGAUCUGCUGAACAUUGGUGACUAUAUUCGGUCUGUGAACGGGAUCCACCUGACCAGGCUCCGCCACGAUGAGAUCAUCACCCUGCUCAAGAAUGUGGGCGAGCGCGUGGUGCUGGAGCUCCUGAGAAUAACCCCAGGAUCAUUUCAAAGACAGUGGACGUCUCCCUCUACAAGGAGGGCAAUAGCUUUGGCUUUGUCCUUAGAGGAGGUGCCCAUGAAGAUGGGCACAAGUCCCGCCCGCUUGUCCUGACCUACGUGCGGCCCGGUGGCCCUGCCGACAGGGAGGGCUCCCUGAAGGUGGGCGACAGGCUGCUCAGUGUCGAUGGAAUCCCGCUGCACGGGGCCAGCCAUGCCACCGCCCUGGCCACCCUGCGGCAGUGCAGCCACGAGGCACUCUUUCAGGUGGAGUAUGAUGUGGCCACCCCUGACACGGUGGCUAAUGCUUCGGGACCCUUGAUGGUGGAAAUAGUCAAGACGCCAGGGUCUGCCCUGGGGAUCUCGCUCACCACCACCUCCCUCCGGAACAAGUCAGUCAUUACCAUCGACCGCAUCAAGCCAGCCAGCGUGGUGGACAGGAGCGGAGCCCUGCACCCUGGAGACCACAUCCUGUCCAUCGAUGGCACCAGCAUGGAACACUGCUCGCUGCUUGAGGCCACCAAGCUCCUGGCCAGCAUUUCAGAGAAGGUGCGGCUGGAGAUCCUGCCUGUGCCCCAGAGUCAGCGGCCACUGAGGCCCUCAGAGGCAGGUGGGUCCCCUCAGUAGAUCUCAGGGCCCAAACCUGGGCAGUCAUGAGGCCUGAGAGGCCUGGGACCAGAGCCCUGGGCAGGCUGGGAGGAGCAGGCUAAAAUGUACUAGGACAAAUCCUCAUUUGCCCAGGGAAGCUCAAAUUAUUAAGAGCAGCAACUGAGGGUGGGAAGGUGGGGCAGAGAAACAACUUGAGGGUUUGAAUUGAGUCUGCUGGCAUAGAUGCCCCAAAGCUGGUUUCAUCACUGGUUGCAUUAAUAGGAGUAUAAGGGCUAGAAUGAGGGAGGGAACAGUCCUGUGCUCUCUGCUACUCAGAGCUUAGAUCCUGGGCUCUUCUCAGUGACUCUCAGCAGAUCCAGAGGAG